RNAcentral lists this long non-coding RNA (1619 nucleotides) under Coffea arabica (coffee). RNAcentral's name for it is "long non-coding RNA (CARA_LNC004515)". Lineage: Eukaryota; Viridiplantae; Streptophyta; Magnoliopsida; Gentianales; Rubiaceae. The record is from RNAcentral.
CUUUUUUUUUUUUUUUUUUUUUGGGUUUUCGUUGCAUAUGAAGGUCCAAGUUAAUGAUUGUGUGUAACUCCUGAUUAAAAUGCAAAGCUUGUCUAAACUUUAAAAGAUAUUAGACAAGGAAAAGAUAUUAUUGGUAAAAGAGGGGAAAAAACUCAUCAAUGUAUAUAGAGAUAAACCAAUUUUAAGCAAAUGAUUAGACAAGUCUAAAAUUUUGCAGGGGCUUGAGUUGUGUUGGGUGGUAAAAUGAGAGGUACUGUUAACCAAAAAAAGGGUCUAAAAUCUUGCCUUGCAAAGAAGAGAAUCAGAGGAGAAAAAGCUUUCCUCCCAACCAGGUACUUAGAGCCGUCAUUUGACAUGUAGCCUGUAGGAUUCGGAGGUCAGAAUUUAGGGUUAAUUUCGUCCUUCACGGUCAUUUUCAGAGAAACCUAGGGAAGAAAAGCCUUUCUUCUCUUCUUCCUGCCUGCAUUUGGAAAUAUCUGCAUGAUCCCGAAUACUUUCCAGGGCAAAUUAAACAAUUCUAUAGUUGUGUUAAUCUCAUGGAAUCAUUGUGAAGCACCAUGUGUUUUCAGAAUUUAUCACGAAGACAUUGGAAUGAAAAACCAUUAAUGGACGAUAAAUUCCCCUACCUGAAAGAGUCUGCAUCAGGUUAAAAGUCUCCAAGAUGGAGAAUUUAUCUGUGCCACUUGGAAGUCUACUCUAUCGAAACUCACAAGCUGACAACUGCCUCGAAUUAUAUAUAUCUAUAUAUAUAUAUAUAGAGAGAGAGAGAGAGAGAGAGAGAGAGAGAGAGAGAAAUUGCUGGCAGUAUUCCCAGAGCUGAAGGCCUCUUUUUUUUCACUUCAGAAAACAGGAAUUGGGCAACCCGAGCAACGAACAAUAGGGCAUAAGCACUUGUACCAGCACCAUUGUUGGCAUGAUCUUCUCCCUCAAAAUCAAAUGGUAAAUGAUAUAUUUCUGCAGCUAUUUGUGCCCGCGUUGCCUGAAUUAUCAUACAGCUUAUCGACAUCCUUGCCACAAAAACGGUAAGACCCGAAUUAUCUAUAGACAUCUCUGCAAGUAAACGUGCCUCAUGACCCACAACUGGCUAAUUGGUGAGUCCCAAGGGAUUCAAUUUCGAUAAUCUCAUGCAAAAUAAAGGGAGUAUAGAAUUCGAAAGCUUUUUUGUCGGGUAUGAACCAGCUCUGCAAUCAAAACAACGUUCCGCACAUUAAGAUGAUUAGCACCAUCUUACAGAAAGUUACAGAAGAAAUAGUUGUCAAUAUGACAUUAAGUAUGCUUAACUUGCACAAAUAUUGCCCAAAUGUCUACAUCAGGAAGGAUAGAACCAGACAUAAAACUCAGGAUAAGUCAAACCCAUAGCCCUUACAAAUUUAAACGCAGAGUCAGAAACAAUCAAGUCAAUUAUGAGUCCAAUGCCAACUUCUUACUGUACAAGAGAAUGUACAUCUAGAUGCCUGUUACAGAACCAGACAUGGUCAUUGAGACUCCUGAGAGAAUCUAAGUCUGCACAGUCCUGAAUCCUAAAACAUCUACCUGCAUUGCCAAGUAUCAGCAACUUUACACAGGCAAUUGUUUAUCUCCAACACGAUUUUAUUCAUCUUCCAACUCCACAAUCUGUG